RNAcentral lists this long non-coding RNA (343 nucleotides) under Monodelphis domestica (gray short-tailed opossum). RNAcentral's name for it is "lncRNA (ENSMODG00000038089.1)". Lineage: Eukaryota; Metazoa; Chordata; Mammalia; Didelphimorphia; Didelphidae. The record is from RNAcentral.
AUGAGACCAAAUGCAUGCAAAUUACUGCUCGUGUUUCUGUUGGUGGUAAGGAUGGUCUACAUGGAAUUGAAAAAAAGAGAGCUGAAGAAUGAGAAUUCUAUUAACAUAUUUCCAACCUUAUCUAGGAGAAAGGGUGCUCUAAUUCUGAUGAUUGAUCCUACUUGUCUAUAUCUGCAAUAUCUGCAAGAGUGGAAAAGAAUAACAAUGAAGCUAUUCUAGUUUAAUGGAAGCAUUCCUUAAGAACAUCCAAAUUUCCCAGCUCUAAUUCUAUGCUCAUCACAUUGCUGAUCUAGUAUUCGGUUUUCAGAAUAAAUUCACCCACCAGAAAGAUAAACCCUGUGCA